RNAcentral lists this unclassified non-coding RNA (379 nucleotides) under Melitaea cinxia (Glanville fritillary). RNAcentral describes it as "misc RNA ENSMCXG00005020076.1". The record is from RNAcentral. Lineage: Eukaryota; Metazoa; Arthropoda; Insecta; Lepidoptera; Nymphalidae.
AAAUGCCUAUGAAUUUAAUUUUUACAAAAUAGCGAAAACUCAUUGCGUGUAAUCUUGAUUAUUUGUUCUCGUUCAAUUUUGUUGCUUUUUGGUUGUGUUUUCUAGUUUUUGCAUUGAGUUGAGCUUCGUAUUCCUCCGUAAAACUACUAGGACUUCGCCCUGAUUCGAAAUAUAUAUUACCGGCCGGUAUAGUAUUUUAAGUUCCAAAAGACGUUAAUAAAAGAAUGUGUUUGUUUUGCGAAAAGGACCCUAUAAUAUUCUCGUGUUGUUUUGUGCUAGCAGUAUAUCAAGAUGCCGAGACGUUGUGUAUUAGGAUGUGAACCUUCUGAUGUUCCACUCUAUGUUUUCCGAGAUCCAGCCAAGACCGAAAUCGUAAUAA